This 406-nucleotide ribosomal RNA is filed under the name uncultured bacterium. RNAcentral describes it as "partial 16S ribosomal RNA". It matches the Rfam family "Bacterial small subunit ribosomal RNA", at positions 28 to 526 of the family's 1533-position model. The record is from RNAcentral.
GACGAACGCUGGCGGCGUGCUUAACACAUGCAAGUCGAACGAGUGGCGAACGGGUGAGUAAUACGUGAGUAACCUGCCCUCUUUUUGGGAUAAGCCUUGGAAACGGGGUCUAAUACCGGAUAAAGGGGGAUGGGCUCGCGGCCUAUCAGCUUGUUGGUGGGGUGAUGGCCUACCAAGGCGGUGACGGGUAGCCAGCCUGAGAGGGUGAACGGCCACAUAGGGACUGAGGUAAGGCCGAGACGACUACGGGGUGAAGCAGUGGGGGAGAGUGCACAAUGGGCGAAAGCGUGAUGCAGCGAGGCCGAGUGGGGGAUUAAGGCUUUCGGGUUGUAACCCUCUUUCGCGAGCGAACGGGUAGGUGGAGAAGAAGCGCCGGCUAACUACGUGCCAGCAGCCGCGGUAAUUC